RNAcentral lists this ribosomal RNA (348 nucleotides) under uncultured bacterium. Its description in RNAcentral is "bacterial SSU rRNA". It matches the Rfam family "Bacterial small subunit ribosomal RNA", at positions 167 to 507 of the family's 1533-position model. The record is from RNAcentral.
UACCGCAUACGAUCUACGGAUAGAAAGGCGGGGGAUCGCAAGACCUCGCGCGAAGUGGAGCGGCCGAUAUCAGAUUAGGUAGUUGGUGGGGUAAAGGCUCACCAAGCCAACGAUCUGUAGCUGGUCUGAGAGGACGACCAGCCACACUGGAACUGAGACACGGUCCAGACUCCUACGGGAGGCAGCAGUGGGGAAUUUUGGACAAUGGGCGCAAGCCUGAUCCAGCCAUUCCGCGUGCAGGAUGAAGGCCUUCGGGUUGUAAACUGCUUUUGUACGGAACGUAACGGUCUGCCCUAAUACGGCAGGCUAAUGACGGUACCGUAAGAAUAAGCACCGGCUAACUACGUG